Small nuclear RNA from Equus asinus (donkey), 107 nucleotides. The record is from Ensembl. Lineage: Eukaryota; Metazoa; Chordata; Mammalia; Perissodactyla; Equidae.
GUGCUCAUUUCAGCAGCACAUAUAAUAAAACUGGAAUGAUACAGAGAAGAUUAACAUGGCCCCUACAUGAGGCUGACAUGCAAAUUUGUGAAGUUAUCCAUAGUUUU